GGUCCGUUGGUCAAGCGGUUAAGACACCGCCCUUUCACGGCGGUAACACGGGUUCGAGUCCCGUACGGAUCA
RNAcentral lists this transfer RNA (72 nucleotides) under Ruoffia tabacinasalis. RNAcentral describes it as "tRNA-Glu". It matches the Rfam family "tRNA". From Rfam's summary of the family: Transfer RNA (tRNA) molecules are approximately 80 nucleotides in length. Their secondary structure includes four short double-helical elements and three loops (D, anti-codon, and T loops). Further hydrogen bonds mediate the characteristic L-shaped molecular structure. tRNAs have two regions of fundamental functional importance: the anti-codon, which is responsible for specific mRNA codon recognition, and the 3' end, to which the tRNAs corresponding amino acid is attached (by aminoacyl-tRNA synthetases). tRNAs cope with the degeneracy of the genetic code in two manners: having more than one tRNA (with a specific anti-codon) for a particular amino acid; and 'wobble' base-pairing, i.e. permitting non-standard base-pairing at the 3rd anti-codon position. Lineage: Bacteria; Bacillati; Bacillota; Bacilli; Lactobacillales; Aerococcaceae. RNAcentral also lists the same sequence under 7 other names. The record is from RNAcentral.